Molecule: small RNA, 106 nt
Filed under: Paenibacillus sp.
Lineage: Bacteria; Bacillati; Bacillota; Bacilli; Caryophanales; Paenibacillaceae
Description: Guanidine-I sequence
Rfam family: Guanidine-I riboswitch aptamer
About the family: This family represents a conserved RNA structure found upstream of the ykkC and yxkD genes in Bacillus subtilis and related genes in other bacteria. The function of this family is unclear although it has been suggested that it may function to switch on efflux pumps and detoxification systems in response to harmful environmental molecules. Nelson showed that this riboswitch senses and responds to guanidine and it was renamed Guanidine-I riboswitch.
Source: RNAcentral
GCCAUUGUUCUCUAGGGUUCCGCAGCGAUCUAAACCGCUGGCCUGGUCCGAGAGAGGACGCACAGCCAAUAGGCUGUGUCCACGGAGGGAGAAAAGCCCGGGAGGA